AUUGAACGCUGGCGGCGUGCCUAACACAUGCAAGUCGAGCGGUAACAGGUGUAGCAAUACAUGCUGACGAGCGGCGGACGGGUAAGUAACGCUUGGGAAUCUGCCUAUUAGUGGGGGACAACCCGGGGAAACUCGGGCUAAUACCGCGUACGCCCUACGGGGGAAAGCGGGGGACUUUCGGGCCUCGCGCUAUUAGAUGA
Molecule: ribosomal RNA, 200 nt
Filed under: uncultured bacterium
Lineage: Bacteria
Description: partial 16S ribosomal RNA
Rfam family: Bacterial small subunit ribosomal RNA
Source: RNAcentral